Molecule: transfer RNA, 72 nt
Filed under: Camelus bactrianus (Bactrian camel)
Lineage: Eukaryota; Metazoa; Chordata; Mammalia; Artiodactyla; Camelidae
Also listed under: 2 other names
Rfam family: tRNA
About the family: Transfer RNA (tRNA) molecules are approximately 80 nucleotides in length.
Source: Rfam by way of RNAcentral
GUAAAUAUAGCUUAGUGGUAGAGCACAUGCUUAGCAUGCACAAGGUCCUGGGUUCAAUCCCCAGUAUCUCCA